Molecule: ribosomal RNA, 253 nt
Filed under: uncultured bacterium
Lineage: Bacteria
Description: partial 16S ribosomal RNA
Rfam family: Bacterial small subunit ribosomal RNA
Source: RNAcentral
AACGUAGGGGGCCAGCGUUGCUCGGAAUUACUGGGCGUAAAGGGUCCGUAGGCGGUGUGGCAAGUCGGAAGUGAAAUCUCUGGGCUUAACCCAGAGGCUGCUUCCGAAACUGCUGUGCUAGAGUGUGAGAGAGGCGAGUGGAGUUGCGGGUGUAGCGGUGAAAUGCGUAGAUAUCCGCAGGAACAUCCGAGGCGAAAGCGGCUCGCUGGAUCACAACUGACGCUGAGGGACGAAAGCUAGGGGAGCAAACAGG